RNAcentral lists this ribosomal RNA (399 nucleotides) under Triticum aestivum (bread wheat). RNAcentral describes it as "partial small subunit ribosomal RNA". The record is from RNAcentral. Lineage: Eukaryota; Viridiplantae; Streptophyta; Magnoliopsida; Poales; Poaceae.
AUGGAUGUUUUCCGACUGGAGUCUCGUGUUGCAGCUGUCGUGGACUAUCUCGCAAGGCUGAAGGCUGCCACAUCUCGCAUCGACUCGACGCUCUGGCCUGAGGAGACACUUCAAAAUGACCUUGAGUCGCUGAUGGCCCGCUUGAACACGAUCCCUGGUCGAGUGCAGGAGUGGAAGAAGUCCUCGGCUCGGUGUGGUGCAGAUGUCGCUCUGUGUCUGGCCCGAGUCCACUGCAAAGAUGCGCGAGAGGAGAAGCUGGCGGCCCUUCGGGUGGCCAAUACCAAGAAGCACGACUUCAGGUCCUUUAUGGAGACUUUCCUUGCAGCUGCCACUCGGAUCGCCGACGGAAUUGACCUUGAUGAAUUUGUUGCACCUUCCAGCCCUCCACAGGAGGGGUAA